Molecule: ribosomal RNA, 1458 nt
Filed under: Triticum aestivum (bread wheat)
Lineage: Eukaryota; Viridiplantae; Streptophyta; Magnoliopsida; Poales; Poaceae
Description: partial small subunit ribosomal RNA
Source: RNAcentral
AUGGGGGUCGCCGGCGGCAGCGGCUGCGUGGCCAAGGCGGCGGCGGUGGCGGUGGUGGUGCUGUGCAUGGCUCGGUGGUCGGCCGGUGGCAUGGGCGUGAACUGGGGCACGCAGCUGAGCCACCCGCUGCCGGCGAGCACGGUGGUGCGGCUGCUCAAGGACAACGGCUUCGACCGGGUGAAGCUGUUCGACGCCGAGGACGGCAUCCUGGGCGCGCUCAAGGGGUCGGGGAUCCAGGUGAUGGUCGGCAUCCCCAACGACAUGCUCUCCGACCUCGCCGGCAGCACCAAGGCCGCCGAGCGCUGGGUCACGGCCAACGUCUCCAAGCACGUCAACGACGGCGUCGACAUAAGGUUGGUGGCCGUCGGGAACGAGCCGUUCCUGCAGACGUUCAACGGCACGUACCUGAACACGACGUUCCCGGCGAUGCAGAACAUCCAGGCGGCGCUGAUGGCGGCCGGGCUGGGCGGCCAGGUGAAGGUGACGGUGGCGCUGAACGCCGACGUCUACCAGUCGGCGACGGGGAAGCCGUCGGACGGCGACUUCCGUGCGGACAUCCACGGGCUCAUGCUCGACAUCGUGCAGUUCCUGGCGUCCAGCGGCGCGCCGUUCGUGGCCAACGUGUACCCGUUCAUCAGCCUGUACGCGGACCCCAACUUCCCGCUGGACUACGCCUUCUUCCAGGGCUCCACCUCGCCGGUGGUGGACGGCGGCGUGAUGUACCAGAACACCUUCGACGCCAACCACGACACGCUGGUGGCGGCGCUGCGCAGGAACGGGUUCCCCAACGUGACCGUCGUGGUCGGCGAGGUCGGCUGGCCCACGGACGGCGACGCCAACGCCAACCCGGCGUACGCGCAGCGGUUCAACCAGGGCCUCCUGGACCACGUCGCCUCCGGGAAGGGCACGCCGCUGACGCCGGGCGCCCCCGUCGACGCCUACCUCUUCAGCCUGGUCGACGAGGACAGGAAGAGCAUCCAGCCGGGCAACUUCGAGCGCCACUGGGGCAUCUUCUUCUACGACGGGAAGCCCAAGUACCAGCUCAGCCUCCGCGGCAACGGCGGCGGCAUGCUCGUGCCGGCGAGGGGCGUCGAGUACCUCCAGAGGCGGUGGUGCGUGCUCAAGCCCGGCGCCGACCUCGGCGACCAGAAGGUCGGCGACAGCGUCAGCUACGCCUGCGGCAGCGCCGACUGCACCAGCCUCGGGUACAAGACGUCGUGCGGCGGCCUCGACGCCAAGGGCAACGUGUCGUACGCGUUCAACAGCUACUACCAGACCGAGGACCAGGACGACCGGGCCUGCGACUUCCGCGGACUCGCCACCACCACCACCGUCGACCCCUCUACCGGGACGUGCCGGUUCAUCGUCGGGAUCGCCCCGACCAGCGCGGCGACGAGGAACGUCGCCGCCAGGGCAGCGGCCGUCCUCUUCGCGGUGUUGCUCGCGGGCGUGUUCUGA